GCUUACGGCCAUACCAGCCUGGGUACGCCCGAUCUCGUCUGAUCUCGGAAGCUAAGCCAGGUCGGGCCUGGUUAGUACUUGGAUGGGAGACCGCCUGGGAAUACCAGGUGCUGUAAGCA
RNAcentral lists this ribosomal RNA (119 nucleotides) under Salmo salar (Atlantic salmon). The record is from RNAcentral. Lineage: Eukaryota; Metazoa; Chordata; Actinopteri; Salmoniformes; Salmonidae.